RNAcentral lists this ribosomal RNA (694 nucleotides) under uncultured bacterium. Its description in RNAcentral is "bacterial SSU rRNA". It matches the Rfam family "Bacterial small subunit ribosomal RNA", at positions 140 to 828 of the family's 1533-position model. The record is from RNAcentral.
GGGAUAACCCGGAGAAAUCCGGCCUAAUACCGCAUGUGGCCGAGGGGAGGCAUCUUCUUUCGGCCAAAGGAGGCGACUCCGGAGACGGAUGGGCAUGCGUGACAUUAGCUUGUUGGCGGGGUAACGGCCCACCAAGGCGACGAUGUCUAGGGGUUCUGAGAGGAAGGUCCCCCACACUGGUACUGAGACACGGACCAGACUCCUACGGGAGGCAGCAGUGAGGAAUAUUGGUCAAUGGGCGAGAGCCUGAACCAGCCAAGUCGCGUGAAGGAUGACGGCCCUAUGGGUUGUAAACUUCUUUUGUCAGGGAGCAAUUGGGUCCACGCGUGGGCUUAGCGAGAGUACCUGAAGAAAAAGCAUCGGCUAACUCCGUGCCAGCAGCCGCGGUAAUACGGAGGAUGCGAGCGUUAUCCGGAUUUAUUGGGUUUAAAGGGUGCGUAGGCGGAAUAUCAAGUCAGCGGUAAAAAUUCGGGGCUCAACCCCGUCGUGCCGUUGAAACUGAUGUUCUUGAGUGGGCGAGAAGUAUGCGGAAUGCGUGGUGUAGCGGUGAAAUGCAUAGAUAUCACGCAGAACUCCGAUUGCGAAGGCAGCAUACCGGCGCCCAACUGACGCUGAAGCACGAAAGCGUGGGUAUCGAACAGGAUUAGAUACCCUGGUAGUCCACGCAGUAAACGAUGAAUGCUAAUUGUCCGGA